GCCGAGAUAGCUCAGCUGGUAGAGCAAUUGAUUCGUAAUCAAUAGGUCGUGGGUUCGAGUCCCAUUCUCGGCUCCA
Molecule: transfer RNA, 76 nt
Filed under: Peptococcaceae bacterium
Lineage: Bacteria; Bacillati; Bacillota; Clostridia; Eubacteriales; Peptococcaceae
Description: tRNA-Thr
Rfam family: tRNA
About the family: Transfer RNA (tRNA) molecules are approximately 80 nucleotides in length.
Source: RNAcentral